This 69-nucleotide antisense RNA is filed under the name Actinocrispum wychmicini. RNAcentral's name for it is "ASpks TB sRNA". It matches the Rfam family "ASpks TB sRNA". The record is from Rfam by way of RNAcentral. Lineage: Bacteria; Bacillati; Actinomycetota; Actinomycetes; Pseudonocardiales; Pseudonocardiaceae.
CUUGACCGACCCGAGCCACAGCGGGUGGUCCCGGUCCUGGCCGUAGGUCGCGAGCACCGCAUCGGCUUC